UACGUAGGGGGCUAGCGUUAAUCGGAAUUACUGGGCGUAAAGCGUGCGCAGGCGGUCGUGCAAGACAGAUGUGAAAUCCCCGGGCUCAACCUGGGAACUGCAUUUGUGACUGCACGGCUGGAGUGCGGCAGAGGGGGAUGGAAUUCCGCGUGUAGCAGUGAAAUGCGUAGAUAUGCGGAGGAACACCGAUGGCGAAGGCAAUCCCCUGGGCCUGCACUGACGCUCAUGCACGAAAGCGUGGGGAGCAAACAGG
This 253-nucleotide ribosomal RNA is filed under the name uncultured bacterium. RNAcentral describes it as "partial 16S ribosomal RNA". It matches the Rfam family "Bacterial small subunit ribosomal RNA", at positions 524 to 776 of the family's 1533-position model. The record is from RNAcentral.